AUUGAACGCUGGCGGCAUGGCUAAAACAUGCAAGUCGAGCGAGAAAGUGGAGCAAUCCAUGAGUAAAGCGGCGAAAGGGUGAGUAAUACGUUCCUACGUGCCUCGAGGUCGGGGAUAGCCAGGGGAAACUCUGGGUAAUACCCGAUGUGAUCGAGAGAUCAAAGGCUUGCCGCCUUGAGAGCGGGGAACGUCCUAUCAGGUCGUUGGUGAGGUAACGGCUCACCAAGCCUAAGACGGGUAGCAGGUGUGAGAGCACGGCCUGCCACAUCGAAACUGAGACACUGUUCGGACUCCUACGGGAGGCUGCAGUAACGAAUCUUCCGCAAUGCGCGAAAGCGUGACGGAGCAAUGCCGCGUGCAGGAUGAAGCCCCUCGGGGUGUAAACUGCUGUCAGGGUUUAGGAAGAAAGUGACCAAACCCAAAGGAAGAGACGACUAACUCUGUGCCAGCCGCCG
This 455-nucleotide ribosomal RNA is filed under the name uncultured bacterium. RNAcentral describes it as "bacterial SSU rRNA". It matches the Rfam family "Bacterial small subunit ribosomal RNA", at positions 30 to 517 of the family's 1533-position model. The record is from RNAcentral.